GACGAACGCUGGCGGCGUGCUUAACACAUGCAAGUCGAACGAUGAAGAAGAGAAACGCGAACUUCGGUUCAAAUUUCACUUCGGAUUAGUGGCAGACGGGUGAGUAACGCGUGAGCAACCUACCUCUUACAAAGGGAUAGCCUCGGGAAACCGUGAUUAAUACCAUAUGACACAUUCAUAAGGCAUCUUAAGAAUGUUAAAGCUACGGCGGUAAGAGAUGGGCUCGCGUCCCAUUAGCUAGUUGGUGAGGUAACGGCCCACCAAGGCGACGAUGGGUAACCCGCCUGAGAGGGUGAACGGUCACAUUGGAACUGAGACACGGUCCAAACUCCUACGGGAGGCAGCAGUGGGGAAUAUUGCACAAUGGAGGGAACUCUGAUGCAGCGACGCCGCGUGAGCGAUGAAGGAAUUCGUUUCGUAAAGCUCUGUUCUAUGGGAAGAAAAGGACUGUACCAUAGGAGAAAGCCCCGGCUAAAUACGUG
This 482-nucleotide ribosomal RNA is filed under the name uncultured bacterium. RNAcentral describes it as "partial 16S ribosomal RNA". It matches the Rfam family "Bacterial small subunit ribosomal RNA", at positions 28 to 507 of the family's 1533-position model. The record is from RNAcentral.